RNAcentral lists this ribosomal RNA (656 nucleotides) under Staphylococcus aureus. RNAcentral describes it as "bacterial SSU rRNA". It matches the Rfam family "Bacterial small subunit ribosomal RNA", at positions 166 to 809 of the family's 1533-position model. The record is from RNAcentral. Lineage: Bacteria; Bacillati; Bacillota; Bacilli; Caryophanales; Staphylococcaceae.
AUACCGGAUAAUAUUUUGAACCGCAUGGUUCAAAAGUGAAAGACGGUCUUGCUGUCACUUAUAGAUGGAUCCGCGCUGCAUUAGCUAGUUGGUAAGGUAACGGCUUACCAAGGCAACGAUGCAUAGCCGACCUGAGAGGGUGAUCGGCCACACUGGAACUGAGACACGGUCCAGACUCCUACGGGAGGCAGCAGUAGGGAAUCUUCCGCAAUGGGCGAAAGCCUGACGGAGCAACGCCGCGUGAGUGAUGAAGGUCUUCGGAUCGUAAAACUCUGUUAUUAGGGAAGAACAUAUGUGUAAGUAACUGUGCACAUCUUGACGGUACCUAAUCAGAAAGCCACGGCUAACUACGUGCCAGCAGCCGCGGUAAUACGUAGGUGGCAAGCGUUAUCCGGAAUUAUUGGGCGUAAAGCGCGCGUAGGCGGUUUUUUAAGUCUGAUGUGAAAGCCCACGGCUCAACCGUGGAGGGUCAUUGGAAACUGGAAAACUUGAGUGCAGAAGAGGAAAGUGGAAUUCCAUGUGUAGCGGUGAAAUGCGCAGAGAUAUGGAGGAACACCAGUGGCGAAGGCGACUUUCUGGUCUGUAACUGACGCUGAUGUGCGAAAGCGUGGGGAUCAAACAGGAUUAGAUACCCUGGUAGUCCACGCCGUAAACGA